GUGUUACUCCCUCCGUCCGAAAAUACUUGUCAUCAAAAUGGAUAAAAAGGGAUGUAUCUAAAACUAAAAUACGUCUAGAUACAUCCACUUUUAUUUAUUUUGAUGACAAGAAUUUCCGGACGGAGGGAGUAUGUG
Non-coding RNA from Triticum urartu, 135 nucleotides. NCBI's taxonomy places the organism in Eukaryota, Viridiplantae, Streptophyta, Magnoliopsida, Poales, Poaceae. The record is from Rfam.